CCUACGGGAGGCAGCAGUGAGGAAUAUUGGUCAAUGGCCGGAAGGCUGAACCAGCCAAGCCGCGUGAAGGACGAAGGUGCUAAGCAUUUUAAACUUCUUUUGUCGAGGGACAAAAUCAGGCUCGCGAGCCUGACCGAGGGUACUCGAAGAAAAAGCAUCGGCCAACUCCGUGCCAGCAGCCGCGGAAAUACGGGGGAUGCGAGCGUUAUCCGGAGUUUUUGGGGUUAAAGGGUGCGUAGGCGGACGUUUAAGUCAGCGGUAAAAGCCCGGGGCUCAACCCCGGCGCGCCGUUGAAACUGGGUAUCUUGAGAGGGCGAGAGGUAUGCGGAAUGCGCGGUGUAGCGGUGAAAUGCUUAGAUAUUACGCAGAACUCCGAUUGCGAAGGCAGCAUACCGGCGGCGAACUGACGCUGAGGCACGAAAGCGUGGGUAUCGAACAGGAUUAGAUACCCGAGUAGUC
Molecule: ribosomal RNA, 459 nt
Filed under: uncultured bacterium
Lineage: Bacteria
Description: partial 16S ribosomal RNA
Rfam family: Bacterial small subunit ribosomal RNA
Source: RNAcentral